GGCUCAGGACGAACGCUGGCGGCGUGCUUAACACAUGCAAGUCGAACGGUAAGGCUCUUCGGAGUACACGAGUGGCGAACGGGUGAGUAACACGUGAGCAACCUGCCCUUGACACUGGGAUAACAGUUGGAAACAGCUGCUAAUACCGGAUACGACCUCGAUCGGCAUCGAUCGAGGUGGAAAGUUCCGGCUGUCAAGGAUGGGCUCGCGGCCUAUCAGCUUGUUGGUGAGGUAACGGCUCACCAAGGCUUCGACGGGUAGCCGGCCUGAGAGGGCGACCGGCCACACUGGGACUGAGAUACGGCCCAGACUCCUACGGGAGGCAGCAGUGGGAAUAUUGCGCAAUGGGCGAAAGCCUGACGCAGCAACGCCGCGUGCGGGAUGACGGCCUUCGGGUUGUAAACCGCUUUCAGCAGGGACGAGGCAACACGUGACGGUACCUGCAGAAGAAGCACCGGCCAACUACGUGCCAGCAGCCGCGGUGAUACGUAGGGUGCGAGCGCUGUCCGGAAUUAUUGGGCGUAAAGAGCUUGUAGGCGGUCUAUUGCGUCGAAAGUGAAAACUCAGGGCUCAACCCUGAGCCUGCUCUCGAUACGGGUAGACUUGAGGGAUGUAGGGGAGAACGGAAUUCUUGGUGGAGCGGUGGAAUGCGCAGAUAUCAGGAGGAACACCGGUGGCGAAGGCGGUUCUCUGGACAUUUCCUGACGCUGAGAAGCGAAAGCGUGGGUAGCAAACAGGCUUAGAUACCCUGGUAGUCCACGCCGUAAACGGUGGGUACUAGGUGUGGGGGACAUUCCACGUUCUCCGUGCCGCAGCUAACGCAUUAAGUACCCCGCCUGGGGAGUACG
RNAcentral lists this ribosomal RNA (848 nucleotides) under uncultured bacterium. Its description in RNAcentral is "bacterial SSU rRNA". It matches the Rfam family "Bacterial small subunit ribosomal RNA", at positions 21 to 884 of the family's 1533-position model. The record is from RNAcentral.